Molecule: non-coding RNA, 27 nt
Filed under: Rattus norvegicus (Norway rat)
Lineage: Eukaryota; Metazoa; Chordata; Mammalia; Rodentia; Muridae
Source: RNAcentral
UUAGAGGCCCAAUCGGAAAUACUAAAU